AUACGUAGGGAGCGAGCGUUGUCCGGAAUUACUGGGUGUAAAGGGAGCGUAGGCGGGACUGCAAGUCAGAUGUGAAAUACCGGGGCUUAACCGCGGAGCUGCAUUUGAAACUGUAAGACUUGAGUACUGGAGAGGCAAGUGGAAUUCCUAGUGUAGCGGUGAAAUGCGUAGAUAUUAGGAGGAACACCGGUGGCGAAGGCGGCUUGCUGGACAGAUACUGACGCUGAGGUGCGAAAGCGUGGGGAGCGAACAGGAUUAGAUACCCUGGUAGUCCACGCUGUAAACGAUGAUUACUAGGUGUAGGGGGUAUCGACUCCCUCUGUGCCGCAGUUAACGCAGUAAGUAAUCCACCUGGGGAGUACGGUCGCAAGAUUAAAACUCAAAUGAAUUGACGGGG
RNAcentral lists this ribosomal RNA (397 nucleotides) under uncultured bacterium. RNAcentral describes it as "partial 16S ribosomal RNA". It matches the Rfam family "Bacterial small subunit ribosomal RNA", at positions 523 to 918 of the family's 1533-position model. The record is from RNAcentral.